Ribosomal RNA from Gadus morhua (Atlantic cod), 119 nucleotides. NCBI's taxonomy places the organism in Eukaryota, Metazoa, Chordata, Actinopteri, Gadiformes, Gadidae. The record is from Ensembl.
GCUUACGGCCAUACCACCUUAGGCACGCCCGAUCUCGUCUGAUCUCGGAAGCUAAGCAGGGUCGGGCCUGGUUAGUACUUGGAUGGGUGACUGCCUGGGAAUACCAGGUGCUGUAAGCA